AGAACUUAGCAGAGAUGCUUUGGUGGCCUUCGGGAACUCUGAGACAGGUGCUGCAUGGCUGUCGUCAGCUCGUGUUGUGAAAUGUUGGGUUAAGUCCCGCAACGAGCGCAACCCUUAUCCUUUGUUGCCAGCGGUUAGGCCGGGAACUCAAAGGAGACUGCCAGUGAUAAACUGGAGGAAGGUGGGGAUGACCGUCAAGUCAUCAUGGCCCUUACGAGUAGGGCUACACACGUGCUACAAUGGCGCAUACAAAGAGAAGCGACCUCGCGAGAGCAAGCGGACCUCAUAAAGUGCGUCGUAGUCCGGAUUGGAGUCUGCAACUCGACUCCAUGAAGUCGGAAUCGCUAGUAAUCGUGGAUCAGAAUGCCACGGUGAAUACGUUCCCGGGCCUUGUACACACCGCCCGUCACACCAUGGGAGUGGGUUGCAAAAGAAGUAGGUAGCUUAACCUUCGGGAGGGCGCUUACCACUUUGUGAUUCAUGACUGGGGUGAAGUCGUAACAAGGUAGGCGUAGUGCU
This 519-nucleotide ribosomal RNA is filed under the name uncultured bacterium. RNAcentral's name for it is "bacterial SSU rRNA". It matches the Rfam family "Bacterial small subunit ribosomal RNA", at positions 992 to 1509 of the family's 1533-position model. The record is from RNAcentral.